Molecule: regulatory RNA element, 92 nt
Organism: Listeria monocytogenes EGD-e
Lineage: Bacteria; Bacillati; Bacillota; Bacilli; Caryophanales; Listeriaceae
Rfam family: Glycine riboswitch aptamer
About the family: This family represents the bacterial glycine riboswitch. Glycine riboswitches usually consist of two metabolite-binding aptamers domains with similar structures in tandem. The aptamers cooperatively bind glycine to regulate the expression of downstream genes.
Source: Rfam
GUGAAUGUAAGCAGAGAGACUGCGAAAAGCAGCGCCGACGGGGAAAGCAUAUAUUAUGUGAAACUCUCAGGCAAAAGGAUGUUUACGGGACG